Molecule: ribosomal RNA, 467 nt
Filed under: uncultured Candida
Lineage: Eukaryota; Fungi; Ascomycota; Saccharomycetes; Saccharomycetales
Description: SSU rRNA
Rfam family: Eukaryotic small subunit ribosomal RNA
Source: RNAcentral
CUGGUUGAUCCUGCCAGUAGUCAUAUGCUUGUCUCAAAGAUUAAGCCAUGCAUGUCUAAGUAUAAGCAAUUGUACGGUGAAACUGCGAAUGGCUCAUUAAAUCAGUUAUCGUUUAUUUGAUAGUACCUUACUACUUGGAUAUCCGUGGUAAUUCUAGAGCUAAUACAUGCUUACAGCCCCGACUUCUGGAAGGGGCGAGUUCAUUAGAUAAAAGGCCGACGUUGUUGGUGAUUCAUGAUAACCUUUCGAAUCGCGAGUAAUCGCGAUGGUUCAUUCAAAUUUCUGCCCUAUCAAUUGAACCGUAGGGUAGUGGCCUACGGUGAUUUCUACGGGUAACGGGGAAUAAGGGUUCGAUUCCGGAGAGGGAGCCUGAGAAACGGCUACCACAUCCAAGGAAGGCAGCAGGCGCGCAAAUUACCCAAUCCCGACACGGGGAGGUAGUGACAAUAAAUAACAAUAUAGGGCUC